AGGCAGACUAUGCUUAUAUUGUACUUGAUCAAUGUAGAGAGUAGAGAUAAGAAAAAAAAUAACUUUCUAAUUCAAUGUUCCAAUGAUAAUCUUUAGGAUAAUUACUCUGUUCUCUAUAUUAAACUCAUUUGUUCCUUUAUAAAUGAGUCAAUGGCACUUCCCAAACUACUGUGUCCUUGUUUGUUACAGCCCUUGUCACUCAGCUGCUAGUGCUUCUCCAUGCUGAGUGAGCUGCUGGACAGUGGGGCUGGUCACUGGAGUAGGCAGUGGCCCAGGAAAGAGCCAUCAUCAGCGACAACUCUUGAAAACUUUUUACAAAGAAAUGAUAUGAAAAUACAAUGCAAUAGACAACUAUGAGCUGCAUAAUGCUUUCUCUGGCCUUCCAUUUCCCUGCACCCCCCACCCCCUAUGAAAUAAAAAUAAUUUACAUUCAUUUCUG
RNAcentral lists this long non-coding RNA (439 nucleotides) under Phascolarctos cinereus (koala). Its description in RNAcentral is "lncRNA (ENSPCIG00000000676.2)". The record is from RNAcentral. Lineage: Eukaryota; Metazoa; Chordata; Mammalia; Diprotodontia; Phascolarctidae.